This 267-nucleotide unclassified non-coding RNA is filed under the name uncultured fungus. Its description in RNAcentral is "partial contains small subunit ribosomal RNA, internal transcribed spacer 1, and 5.8S ribosomal RNA". The stretch from base 1 to 68 matches the Rfam family "Eukaryotic small subunit ribosomal RNA", at positions 1764 to 1831 of the family's 1831-position model. The record is from RNAcentral. Lineage: Eukaryota; Fungi.
GCAAACUUUUUAGAGGAAGUAAAAGUCGUAACAAGGUCUCCGUAGGUGAACCUGCGGAGGGAUCAUUAAAAGAGAUGGCGGGCCCCCGCGCCCCCGUCCCCAACCCUUUGUUGACCAAAACAUUUUUGCCUCGGGGGCAGAGUGGCCGCCAGGUCGCCGCCCCCAGAGGACCACUUAACCCUGUCUCUGUACGUCGGAGUCUUUGAUGAAUAAAUCAAAACUUUCAACAACGGAUCUCUUGGUUCUGGCAUCGAUGAAGAACGCAGC